This 460-nucleotide ribosomal RNA is filed under the name uncultured bacterium. RNAcentral's name for it is "partial 16S ribosomal RNA". It matches the Rfam family "Bacterial small subunit ribosomal RNA", at positions 338 to 795 of the family's 1533-position model. The record is from RNAcentral.
CCUACGGGGGGCAGCAGUGAGGAAUAUUGGUCAAUGGACGAGAGUCUGAACCAGCCAAGUAGCGUGAAGGAUGACUGCCCUAUGGGUUGUAAACUUCUUUUAUAUGGGAAUAAAAUGUUUCACGUGUGGGAUUUUGUAUGUACCAUAUGAAUAAGGAUCGGCUAACUCCGUGCCAGCAGCCGCGGUAAUACGGAGGAUCCGAGCGUUAUCCGGAUUUAUUGGGGUUAAAGGGAGCGUAGGUGGAUUGUUAAGUCAGUUGUGAAAGUUUGCGGCUCAACCGUAAAAUUGCAGUUGAAACUGGCAGUCUUGAGUACAGUAGAGGUGGGCGGAAUUCGUGGUGGAGCGGUGAAAUGCUUAGAUAUCACGAAGAACUCCGAUUGCGAAGGCAGUUCACUGGACUGCAACUGACACUGAGGCUCGAAAGUGUGGGUAUCAAACAGGAUUAGAUACCCGAGUAGUC